Non-coding RNA from Penaeus vannamei (Pacific white shrimp), 4478 nucleotides. The record is from RefSeq and is a predicted model, not a curated record. NCBI's taxonomy places the organism in Eukaryota, Metazoa, Arthropoda, Malacostraca, Decapoda, Penaeidae.
CCAUCUUAGGGCGAAUUCAGAGCCAGAAAGGGUUCAUGAAAGUAACCUUCAGAAAGUGUUCGCUAUCACAAGAGGAGGUUAGUGAGCUGGUCAGUGGCAUAAAAUCUCAAGGUGUCAAGAUAGUUGAUGAGCUGCGCAUCUUCUCGUCUUCUCUGGGGUCACUGUCAGCUGACCUCACAACCCUGGUGAAAUCAGAGCUUGGCUGCAGACUUACGUUGCUUGACCCAAAGGAUGGAUACGAGUACUAAGAAACCGCUGCAGAACUGGUUAAUAUCUGUCAAGCACUGGCACUAGACGAUCAGUAAGAUAUAGGCAGUUUGUGCCAGGUGUCUUCGUUACACCUACAGCAUAUGCUUUCUCUUUUAUUUACUCUUUCUUUUGUUUUUCUCAACUGUUUCUUUUGUAUUUUUUUACCUUUGCCAAGGAGGUUAUGUUUUUGAUGGUGUUAUGACAGAAUUUAAUGCUAUUUUUAACAGGUGUGUCUUAGAUGCCAUUAAAUUUGGGUGGUGAUUGGUAUCAUGACCCAUGUUCUAGGAAUGUUUUAAAUAAUUGCAUGUGUUACUAUUAUUAUUACCUUUAUUACUUCUGCUUGAGAGGUUAUGUUUACAAACCUCACUAGUAUACUUGAGAAAGAGGUGAUUUUAAUUAAUUGAAUCACAGACCCUGUUGCUGUGGCAGAGGUAUGUGCUCUCUGUGUGCUUUUAGUUUCUUUUGUUUCUUUUUCUAUUUUUUAUAAGUUUUACUUUUCUCCAGUCUAUAUUUAUAUUUUUAUGCUGUAUUGUUGUAUGGUAUAUUGUAGUUACAUUGCUUAGUGGUACUUAUGACAUAUUAAUAUGUUAUGGUUUUUGCACAAGUAGGGUCAACAUUAAACUAUUAUAUUUUACCAAUGGAAGUCAGAAAUCUGUCGAUUGCCACCUUGAUACAGCUUAACAAAUCAUAGCGUUAGACCUUGGAAAAUGGCAAAACAGUGUUUGCAGAAUAAAAGAUCAUAGCAUAGCAAAGAGGAGGGAAGAAGUCAUGGUGCUGUGAAUAACAUGCACCCAGGAGAGCCACCACUCAGGUAUGCCCAAUGAUAAAGAGAGUAUUAUUGUGCUUUCUGUUUUUUUGUGAAUGAAGUAUUUUAACUCUGUGUCUGUGUCAGUGUUGGCUGUCAUCUGUUCUAAACAAUUUGGGCUGCCACUUGUUCAGUACUCCUUAGAUUAGAGCUCGCAGAUGGCAAUAAAUCAGAUGCAUCUAGUUCCUCGGCAUCAACAGAGAGGUAUGAAAGUUGAGGGGUUGGAAAAUCACACUAAACUUCUUGUCCCAAAAUAUGUGAAGAGCUUCUAUGAUACAAAAUGACAUGAGAGUCUGUCUUGUACUUUGCUUGAAUCCUGUCUGAGUAGUUUAUUGCAGGUGACAGCUCAGCUUUUAUACAAAUCUAAGACCAAGUGGAGACCCAAGAGUACAGGAAAAGUGAAAACACAUAGAAUAAACUGAAGAGAAAAAUGUCUGGAAGGCUGCCAAAAUGGCCUAGCUUGUUUUGGAUAGGACAUAUAUGUCAAGGUUUUCUUUAUUCAUGUACUUCCUCUUUUAAAGUUCUGUAUGAUCCUAGAUGAGUGGGCAUUUCACCAGGUUAAAUGCUCAGAGAACCUAUUAACAGUAUAUUUACAAUUUACAUAGAGUAAACACAUAAAUAAUUCUGUAUCUGCAACAAGUAGGGCAUAUGUACUAGUAUGGUGUCUUCUAAAAUAACUUGUUUCCUUGCAAGAUGGUGAACCUGAGGACAGACCCUUGUUCAUCUUGUGAAGGUGCUUCCUUCUCUGGUUCAGGAUGAUCUUCAUAAAAGUGGAGACUGUAAACAUUUGGAGACAUCACCAUUAGCAUAAAUAUAUUUCAGAAGAAAUAGUUAUACCAGAACUUCAAAGAAUACAAAACAUACGGAAUAUGUUGCAUAUGCCAAGACAUUGGCAAUACUUACAAAAGGUGUGUAUGGGUAAGGAGCUUGGAGACAAGUGAAAUUCCUGCUUGAAUAGGUUGCUGACCAUGCUUUGGUUGCUGGAACGAAACCAGGAAACAUAUACAUGUACACACACGUACACAUACACUAAACUAUAUAAAGAGAAAAUGGACUGGCUUUCACCAGUUAUGGAAAUCUACACAAUACCCUGGACAGUCUAGUAAGUGCCUGGUUGCAUCUGAAGUUGGAUAUACAUAUGAGUGAGCUGAGUGAGAUACAAGUAGUGUAUGGAAUGAUACUUGCAAAAAUUAACUGAAGGUGAAAUACAGGAAUUAUGUGGUAAGGACAUUGAAGAAAAUAUUCCAAUUGAGGCCAAUUACUGUAGGUUUAUGUAUGGUCCACUGCAAUCUUUGGUAAAUUUUGUAGCUCCACAAGUGCUUAGCCACCAAGGAGACAGUGACUUGGCUCGAGGGAUUGUGCCUAAUUUCCCCAUUCCUUAAAUUUGUGGGAUUUUUUUUAUUGAGAUGUUAUUAAUAUUGACACUGUUAUUAUUGGUAUUUGCAUAAUGAUUGGUGUAAUCUUAUUAAAAUGCUAAUAGUAGUAAAAAAAGUAAAAUAAUAUACAGUGAUAUUCCAGAAAAUCAAUGAAAAUUUAAACAGAUGAGAUGGGUAGGAGUAGUAACUUACUCAUUGGUGACUGAACACUCAUGGAGCCAUAUCUGUGUAAACACAAUUAGUAAACUAAAUUACAGUGGAGAUGGUAUAUACUUAUGCCAUCUACAUCCAUUGAGUUAAACCAUACACUUGGGCAGUAAUAAAGUGUGUGACAUAAAGAGAAUAUCUGAUAUUAUGAAAAUUUAUGAACAUACAGUACAAAGAGAGAAUGUGAAAUAAGCCUGUAUGACUUAUUGCCAAGAUCUGACACUAAUGUAUUAGUAAGAUAAUUAUAUGGAUAAAUGGAUGUUUGUACUGUAAUGUUUUGAAAGGACGUGUACCACUGGGAAAAGGGUGCUGCAGUAACCCCAUGAACUGUUUCCUGGGGCAUAAGGGAUCCUUAUCAUCUUCAUCAUCUUUGUUGUUGCCAUGGUCGUUGUCAUUGACAUCGUCAUUGUUAUCGUCAUCGUCAUCAUCAUUGUCAUUGAUUUUCAGUUGCAUAGCAGUUUGUAAUCCUAGCUUUUUGACUAUUAUGUAUUAGUGAAUUGUGCUCUCUUAUAUUUUUUCCUCAGCUCCUCAGGGCAGUUCGGAAGGAGAUUAUUUCAUCAGGCCCUAGUAUUUCUUGUUUCUAGGGCCUUUAAUACAUUUUCUCUGUCUGUGUCAUCGUCAUUGUCAUUGUCAGUGUCAGUGCCAGUGUCAAUGUUAGUGUCAAUGUUAAUGUCAUUGUCAAUGUCAUUGUCAUCAUCAUGUUAUCAUCAAUCAUACCAUCAUUGUCAUUGAUUUUCAGUUACAUAGCAGUUUGUUAUCCUAGCUUUUGGACAAUUAUGUAUUAGUGAAUUGUGUUCAUUUAUAUUUUUUCCCCCUGUCAUAUCUAAGAUUUUAACACUUAAGUUUAUGGAAAAUAUACAAUUUUUGCACCUCAAGUAAUAGCAGUAAUCGCUUCACACUAUUGUGAAAAGGAGUUUAUUUGCUGGUAUCUGGCUAUAUAUUUCUAAUGUCCAGUAAAUGAAUACACAUGAAUGUGUAUAUUUUUACUCUAUAGAAAUAAAACAUUAGCAUUUGAUAGCACAACAAUAUACAGUGUGGUCGUUCCAAAAUACACCAUCUAUAAUUUGUUACUAUUUUCCAAAGAUGAUAUGGUGGAAGUACUUUAAAUGGGUUGCUAACAUUGCUCAAGGCUCGUUCAGUGAGAGAAAUUAAAGAAAUAAUUAUUUCACUAGCCUAGUUUUAUCUGAUUAUUGAAUAUAUCUAUCUAUAUACUGCUCUUUUACUUCUAAUUAUUUCCCUCUCAUUUAUUUUGUAAAUGGUGCCUUACAGCCAUGAUGUUUAUUUUGCCCGUAUUGUAUGAUUUAAUGUUUGUCAAGACUUUUGCAUGUUUCGAAUGGGGAGAUAUUUAACGGGUUGAUCAUUGUCUAGAACUUACACUUCAGCAGCUCAUGGAGUGGUGUUAGUGUAAAUAUCUCCUCCUAAAUAUCUCUCCUUCAUUGAUGUAGUUUCCUUCCGUUCUUUGAGGUGGAAUUGUUUUAUUUAGUGCCAUGAUAUUCAUGUAACUAUUUCAUGAACAUAUUCAAUAAAUGUUCAUUCAUUACAUUUGUUAGAAUUAUAUUUUCAUCAUUUACCUGAUUUUUAGAUACUCUUAAAAUUAAUUUGAAGUAUAGAAUGAGUCAUUGUACUUUUGCCAUGAAUUUUAUUGAAUCAUGUUUAUAAAUGUUGAAUUUUAUCUAUUUGUAGAUUUACAUGUUUUAUACCUUUUUAUAUGGAUAUAUUUUUGUUAACAGAGUUACAGAUUGUGUGUGUUUAUAUGAAUGAGCUGAAGUGAUAUAAAUCUUGUGAUUUGAUAUUAUGCACUCAUAAAUAGUUUGUAUUUUUAUUUAUAAUAAAUCAUAAAA